GCCACGGUAGCUUAGUUGGUAAAGCAGUCGAUUCGUAAUCGACAGAGCGCCGGUUCGAGUCCAGCCCGUGGCU
This 73-nucleotide transfer RNA is filed under the name Fidelibacterota bacterium. RNAcentral's name for it is "tRNA-Thr". It matches the Rfam family "tRNA". From Rfam's summary of the family: Transfer RNA (tRNA) molecules are approximately 80 nucleotides in length. Lineage: Bacteria; Pseudomonadati; Fidelibacterota. The record is from RNAcentral.